GCCUCGGUAGCUCAGUUGGUAGAGCACGCGACUGAAAAUCGCGGUGUCGGUGGUUCGAAUCCGCCCCGAGGCACCA
This 76-nucleotide transfer RNA is filed under the name Parerythrobacter jejuensis. RNAcentral's name for it is "Erythrobacter jejuensis tRNA-Phe". It matches the Rfam family "tRNA". Rfam says of the family: Transfer RNA (tRNA) molecules are approximately 80 nucleotides in length. Their secondary structure includes four short double-helical elements and three loops (D, anti-codon, and T loops). RNAcentral also lists the same sequence under 5 other names. Lineage: Bacteria; Pseudomonadati; Pseudomonadota; Alphaproteobacteria; Sphingomonadales; Erythrobacteraceae. The record is from RNAcentral.